GAUGAAGAACGUAGCGAAAUGCGAUAAGUAAUGCGAAUUGCAGAGUUCAGUGAAUCAUCGAAUCUUUGAACGCACAUUGCGCCCGCUAGUAUUCUGGCGGGCAUGCCUGUCCGAGCGUCAUUUCAACCCUCAAGCCCCCGGGCUUGGUGUUGGGGAUCGGCGAGCCUCCGCGCCCGCCGUCCCCUAAAUCUAGUGGCGGUCUCGCUGUAGCUUCCUCUGCGUAGUAGCACACCUCGCACUGGGAAACAGCGCGGCCACGCCGUUAAACCCCCAACUUCUGAACGUUUGACCUCGGAUCAGGUAGGAAUACCCACUGAACUUAAGCAUAUCAAUAAGCGGAGGA
RNAcentral lists this unclassified non-coding RNA (343 nucleotides) under soil metagenome. RNAcentral describes it as "partial contains 5.8S ribosomal RNA, internal transcribed spacer 2, and large subunit ribosomal RNA". The stretch from base 1 to 120 matches the Rfam family "5.8S ribosomal RNA", at positions 35 to 154 of the family's 154-position model. The record is from RNAcentral.